RNAcentral lists this ribosomal RNA (115 nucleotides) under Vulpes vulpes (red fox). The record is from RNAcentral. Lineage: Eukaryota; Metazoa; Chordata; Mammalia; Carnivora; Canidae.
GCCAGCCUCACCACCCAUCAAAACUCUCCUUAGCUCUUCUGAUCUGAGGAGCCAAGCAGAGUCAGGUGGUUAGUACUUGGGUGAGAGUUUCUGGGGCUUUUCAUCAAGGCAGGAC